RNAcentral lists this ribosomal RNA (440 nucleotides) under uncultured bacterium. RNAcentral describes it as "partial 16S ribosomal RNA". It matches the Rfam family "Bacterial small subunit ribosomal RNA", at positions 339 to 795 of the family's 1533-position model. The record is from RNAcentral.
CUACGGGAUGCUCCAGUGAGGAAUAUUGCACAAUGGGGGGAACCCUGAUGCAGCAACGCCGCGUGGAGGAUGAUGCAUUUCGGUGUGUAAACUCCUUUUAUAUGUCAAGAAAAUGACGGUAGCAUAUGAAUAAGCACCGGCUAACUCCGUGCCACGCAGCCGCGGUAAUACGGAGGGUGCAAGCGUUACUCGGAAUCACUGGGCGUAAAGGACGCGUAGGCGGGUUGGAAAGUCAGGUGUGAAAUCCUACAGCUUAACUGUAGAACUGCACUUGAAACUUCUAAUCUAGAGUAUGGGAGGGGGAGAUGGAAUUAGUGGUGUAGGGGUAAAAUCCGUAGAUAUCACUAGGAAUACCUAAAGCGAAGGCGAUCUCCUGGAACAUUACUGACGCUAAGGCGCGAAAGCGUGGGGAGCAAACAGGAUUAGAUACCCUAGUAGUC